Molecule: ribosomal RNA, 792 nt
Filed under: Chaetoptelius tricolor
Lineage: Eukaryota; Metazoa; Arthropoda; Insecta; Coleoptera; Curculionidae
Description: eukaryotic LSU rRNA
Rfam family: Eukaryotic large subunit ribosomal RNA
Source: RNAcentral
CGUUUAGGGGUAAACCUGAGAAACCCGAAAGGUCGAAGGGAGAAAUUCAUUCGCGUUUCGACGUUGGCGUUGAGCGGAGUUGUGUGACGAGGAGUACGCAAGUAUUCUUUGCGCCCUUCGUUUUUCGAUCCGGCGACGAACGCGUGCACUUUUCUCCUGGUAGGACGUCGCGAUCCGUUGGGCGUCGGUCUACGGCCGGUGGUGGAGCCCGUCCGUUGUUGCUUCACGGUGACGACGAGCGGACCCGCCGGUUCUAAUUCUGUCUGGCCGACUCGCUCGACGGUAUACGAAAGGUUAAGAGUCGCUCACUUUAUGUAGCGUUCGACUCGUGGCAAGCGCGCCAGAUGUUUGUUGGCAAUCGGACCUGGUGCCGAUUCCGACCUCUGGUGACUGUUGGCUUCACGAUGUUCUCGAACAGACUACUCUAUGACCGAUCUGCGGCGCUAUAGCUUUGGGUAAUUUCAGGACCCGUCUUGAAACACGGACCAAGGAGUCUAGCAUGUACGCGAGUCAUUGGGAAUAUUACUAAACCUAAAGGCGUAAUGAAAGUAAAGGUCUUCCUUUGCGGAGACCGAGGGAAGACGAGCCGUAACAAGUUCCGCAUUCCCGGGGCGUCUCGUUCUCAUUGCGAGAAGAGGCGCACCAAGAGCGUACACGCUGGGACCCGAAAGAUGGUGAACUAUGCCUGGUCAGGACGAAGUCAGGGGAAACCCUGAGGAGGUCCGUAGCGAUUCUGACGUGCAAAUCGAUCGUCGGAACUGGGUAUAGGGGCGAAAGACUAAUCGAACCAUC